GACGAACGCUGGCGGCGUGCCUAAUACAUGCAAGUAGAACGCUGAAGAGAGGAGCUUGCUCUUCUUGGAUGAGUUGCGAACGGGUGAGUAACGCGUAGGUAACCUGCCUUGUAGCGGGGGAUAACUAUUGGAAACGAUAGCUAAUACCGCAUAACAAUGGAUGACACAUGUCAUUUAUUUGAAAGGGGCAAUUGCUCCACUACAAGAUGGACCUGCGUUGUAUUAGCUAGUAGGUGAGGUAAUGGCUCACCUAGGCGACGAUACAUAGCCGACCUGAGAGGGUGAUCGGCCACACUGGGACGGAGACACGGCCCAGACUCCUACGGGAGGCAGCAGUAGGGAAUCUUCGGCAAUGGGGGCAAACCUGACCGAGCAACGCCGCGUGAGUGAAGAAGGGUUUCGGAUCGUAAAGCUCGGUUGUAAGUCAAGAACGGGUGUGAGAGUGGAAAGUUCACACUGUGACGGUAGCUUACCAGAAAGGGACGGCUAACUACGUG
This 497-nucleotide ribosomal RNA is filed under the name uncultured bacterium. Its description in RNAcentral is "partial 16S ribosomal RNA". It matches the Rfam family "Bacterial small subunit ribosomal RNA", at positions 28 to 507 of the family's 1533-position model. The record is from RNAcentral.